GAGACUCUGUGCGCGUGCAUAUCAAUAAGCGGAGGAAAAGAAACUAACAAGGAUUCCCUUAGUAACGGCGAGUGAAGCGGGAAGAGCUCAAAUUUGAAAUCUUCAAGGUUCUACCUUGACGAAUUGUAGUUUAUAGAAGUGUUUUCUGUUAGUAGAGUGGCAAAAGUUCUUUGGAAUAGGACAUCAUAGAGGGUGAGAAUCCCGUAUUUGGUCAUUCUUUCUAGCUUUGUGAUACACUUUCAACGGGUCGGAUUGUUUGGGAAUGCAGUCCAAAAUGGGUGGUAAAUUUCAUCUAAAGCUAAAUAUUGGCGAGAGACCGAUAGCGAACAAGUACCGUGAGGGAAAGAUGAAAAGAACUUUGAAAAGAGAGUUAAACAGUACGUGAAAUUGUCAAAAGGGAAGCGUUUGACACCAGUGUUGUUUUCUCGAAAAUCAAUUAAAAAUGGUGGGAUUUUGUGUUGUAUUGACUUUAUCAGCUUUCUGCACUUUUUUCCUGUCUUUUUUAAUGCACUUUUCGUUUAACAAGUCAACAUCAAUUUCUUUUGUUGUAAAAGGGUCAUUGGAAGGUGGCUUUCUUUUCGGAGAAAGUGUUUAUAGCCUUUGGCCUCUGCAAUCGGAGAGAUUGAGGUCUGCAGCGUAGAUCCUUCGGGGUUAGAUACAUUUGUGCUAAGCUAUAGCCUUUCAUAGACAACUCGUUGACUAUGAUCAGUCAUGUAGCUUACUCGCUUAUGCUAUUUUACCUACGCUUAGGAUGUUGAAGAUGUAGCACAUCAU
RNAcentral lists this ribosomal RNA (774 nucleotides) under uncultured Neocallimastigales. RNAcentral's name for it is "partial large subunit ribosomal RNA". It matches the Rfam family "Eukaryotic large subunit ribosomal RNA", at positions 23 to 635 of the family's 3401-position model. Lineage: Eukaryota; Fungi; Neocallimastigomycota; Neocallimastigomycetes; Neocallimastigales. The record is from RNAcentral.